Molecule: ribosomal RNA, 404 nt
Filed under: uncultured bacterium
Lineage: Bacteria
Description: partial 16S ribosomal RNA
Rfam family: Bacterial small subunit ribosomal RNA
Source: RNAcentral
GAUUGAAACGCUGGCGGCAUGCCUUACACAUGCAAGUCGAACGGCAGCACGGGAGCAAUCCUGGUGGCGAGUGGCGAACGGGUGAGUAAUAUAUCGGAACGUGCCCAGUCGUGGGGGAUAACGCAGCGAAAGCUGUGCUAAUACCGCAUACGAUCUCUGGAUGAAAGCGGGGGACUCGCAAGGGCCUCGCGCGAUUGGAGCGGCCGAUAUCAGAUUAGCUAGUUGGUGGGGUAAAAGCCCACCAAGGCGACGAUCUGUAGCUGGUCUGAGAGGACGACCAGCCACACUGGAACUGAGACACGGUCCAGACUCCUACGGGAGGCAGCAGUGUUUUUUUUUUUUUUAUGGGCGCAAGCCUGAUCCAGCAAUGCCGCGUGCAGGAUGAAGGCCUUCGGGUUGUAAAC